Molecule: ribosomal RNA, 428 nt
Filed under: uncultured prokaryote
Description: bacterial SSU rRNA
Rfam family: Bacterial small subunit ribosomal RNA
Source: RNAcentral
UGGGGAAUUUUGCGCAAUGGGCGAAAGCCUGACGCAGCAACGCCGCGUGAGUGAUGAAGGCUUUCGGGUCGUAAAGCUCUGUCAAGGGGAAAGAAGUGUAGAGUGGUUAAUACCCGCUUUACUUGACGGUACCCCUGAAGGAAGCACCGGCUAACUCCGUGCCAGCAGCCGCGGUAAUACGGGGGGUGCAAGCGUUGUUCGGAUUUAUUGGGCGUAAAGCGCGUGUAGGCGGUUUGUUAAGUCUGAUGUGAAAGCCCUGGGCUCAACCCAGGAAGCGCAUUGGAUACUGGCAGACUUGAAUACGGGAGAGGGUAGUGGAAUUCCUGGUGUAGGAGUGAAAUCCGUAGAUAUCAGGAGGAACACCGGUGGCGAAGGCGGCUGCCUGGACCGAUAUUGACGCUGAGACGCGAAAGCGUGGGUAGCAAACA